AUCGCUGUGGUCUAGUGGUUAGGACAUUGCGCUAUGGCCGCACUAACGCAGGUUCGAAUCCUGGCAGCGAUA
This 72-nucleotide transfer RNA is filed under the name Trichobilharzia regenti. It matches the Rfam family "tRNA". From Rfam's summary of the family: Transfer RNA (tRNA) molecules are approximately 80 nucleotides in length. Their secondary structure includes four short double-helical elements and three loops (D, anti-codon, and T loops). Lineage: Eukaryota; Metazoa; Platyhelminthes; Trematoda; Strigeidida; Schistosomatidae. The record is from Rfam by way of RNAcentral.